Heterocephalus glaber (naked mole-rat) is the source of this 692-nucleotide long non-coding RNA. RefSeq lists it as uncharacterized. The record is from RefSeq and is a predicted model, not a curated record. NCBI's taxonomy places the organism in Eukaryota, Metazoa, Chordata, Mammalia, Rodentia, Bathyergidae.
GCUAGGAUGUUCGAGGGUGCGCUUGAGCCUAGGGACGUGUCUAGUCCUGGAACUUCUGUUUUGCAGAUUGUAGAAUCAUACCCCUUUUUGUACUGAGUUAAAAUAACGUCUAAUCUCUCUGGAAUUUAACCACAACUGUCAUUCUGGAGAGGCUUUAAACAGAUGCCCAUGGUAGCGUCGAAAAAAGUUAAGUCAGUCUUUAGGUUCCGUGUUCCCAAAUCUGCAAUAUACUCAUGUUUCACCAGCAAUUUGAUGCCUUAUGCUGCGAUUCCCACCAGCCUUUGAGAGAAGAGGAAUUUUGAGUCUGUCCCCUUGGAAGCUGCUCAGAAAUGCAAAUUUUCCUGGACUUCCUUGGAAUCAGGAAGAAGCGGACAGGAAAACUGAAAACUACAGAGAAGGUGGAGGAAUGGAACACAACAUAGAGAAAAGAAUGAAGCAGUUGGGCCACUAACCCCAGGUUCUAAGGAGGGGAUCUGUCUCCACUGACACAAGGCAACGACUCGAUAAGUCGCUAAAUUGCCCAGUCUGGGCUUGAAUUUGGGAUCCUCCCGUCUCAGUUUCCCAGGGAUUAGCACGCUUAGAAAUACGCAGCAACGAGUAAGGAAGCACGCAGGUGUGUACCCUGUCUGUCCCUUGUGGAGGUGCAGGCGACACCUGGCUGUGGAGGCACCACACGUCCCCCACCGCGUCCU